UUACCAUGCAGUCGAACGGGAUCUGACCAGCUUGCUGGUUGGUGAGAGUGGCGAACGGGUGAGUAAUGCGUGACCAACCUGCCCCAUGCUCCAGAAUAGCUCUUGGAAACGGGUGGUAAUGCUGGAUGCUCCAACUUGACGCAUGUCUUGUUGGGAAAGUGUUUAGUGGCAUGGGAUGGGGUCGCGUCCUAUCAGCUUGUAGGCGGGGUAAUGGCCCACCUAGGCUUCGACGGGUAGCCGGCCUGAGAGGGCGGACGGCCACAUUGGGACUGAGAUACGGCCCAGACUCCUACGGGAGGCAGCAGUGGGGAAUAUUGCGCAAUGGGGGAAACCCUGACGCAGCGACGCCGCGUGCGGGAUGAAGGCCUUCGGGUUGUAAACCGCUUUUGAUUGGGAGCAAGCCUUUUGGGUGAGUGUACCUUUCGAAUAAGCGCCGGCUAACUACGUGCCAGCAGCCGCGGUAAUACGUAGGGCGCAAGCGUUAUCCGGAAUUAUUGGGCGUAAAGAGCUUGUAGGCGGUUCGUCGCGUCUGGUGUGAAAGCCCAUCGCUUAACGGUGGGUUUGCGCCGGGUACGGGCGGGCUAGAGUGCAGUAGGGGAGACUGGAAUUCUCGGUGUAACGGUGGAAUGUGUAGAUAUCGGGAAGAACACCAAUGGCGAAGGCAGGUCUCUGGGCUGUUACUGACGCUGAGAAGCGAAAGCGUGGGGAGCGAACAGGAUUAGA
This 723-nucleotide ribosomal RNA is filed under the name Gardnerella vaginalis. RNAcentral's name for it is "bacterial SSU rRNA". It matches the Rfam family "Bacterial small subunit ribosomal RNA", at positions 49 to 782 of the family's 1533-position model. Lineage: Bacteria; Bacillati; Actinomycetota; Actinomycetes; Bifidobacteriales; Bifidobacteriaceae. The record is from RNAcentral.